This 446-nucleotide ribosomal RNA is filed under the name uncultured bacterium. Its description in RNAcentral is "partial 16S ribosomal RNA". It matches the Rfam family "Bacterial small subunit ribosomal RNA", at positions 330 to 793 of the family's 1533-position model. The record is from RNAcentral.
CCCAGACUCCUACGGGAGGCAGCAGUGGGGAAUAUUGCACAAUGGGGGAAACCCUGAUGCAGCGACGCCGCGUGAGUGAAGAAGUAUUUCGGUAUGUAAAGCUCUAUCAGCAGGAAAGAAAAUGACGGUACCUGACUAAGAAGCCCCGGCUAACUACGUGCCAGCAGCCGCGGUAAUACGUAGGGGGCAAGCGUUAUCCGGAUUUACUGGGUGUAAAGGGAGCGUAGACGGUGAAGCAAGUCUGAAGUGAAAGGCGGGGGCUCAACCCCCGGACUGCUUUGGAAACUGUUUGACUGGAGUGCAGGAGAGGUAAGUGGAAUUCCUAGUGUAGCGGUGAAAUGCGUAGAUAUUAGGAGGAACACCGGCGGCGAAGGCGGCCUGCUGGACCGCGACUGACGUUGAGGCUCGAAAGCGUGGGGAGCGAACAGGAUUAGAUACCCUCGUAC